CUACUGGGGUAUCUAAUCCUGUUUGCUCCCCACGCUUUCGCACCUCAGCGUCAAUACCUGUCCAGCGAGUCGCCUUCGCCACUGGUGUUCUUCCGAAUAUCUACGAAUUUCACCUCUACACUCGGAAUUCCACUCGCCUCUCCAGGAUUCUAGCCAUCCAGUUUCAAAGGCAGUUCCGGGGUUGAGCCCCGGGAUUUCACCCCUGACUUGAAUAGCCGCCUACGCGCGCUUUACGCCCAGUAAUUCCGAACAACGCUAGCUCCCUCCGUAUUACCGCGGCUGCUGGCAC
Molecule: ribosomal RNA, 289 nt
Filed under: uncultured Altererythrobacter sp.
Lineage: Bacteria; Pseudomonadati; Pseudomonadota; Alphaproteobacteria; Sphingomonadales; Erythrobacteraceae
Description: partial 16S ribosomal RNA
Source: RNAcentral